Molecule: ribosomal RNA, 468 nt
Filed under: uncultured bacterium
Lineage: Bacteria
Description: partial 16S ribosomal RNA
Rfam family: Bacterial small subunit ribosomal RNA
Source: RNAcentral
GACGAACGCUGGCGGCGUGCUUAACACAUGCAAGUCGAACGGAAAGGCCCUGCUUUUGUGGGGUGCUCGAGUGGCGAACGGGUGAGUAACACGUGAGUAACCUGCCCUUGACUUUGGGAUAACUUCAGGAAACUGGGGCUAAUAUCGGAUAGGAGCUCCUGCUGCAUGGUGGGGGUUGGAAAGAUUCGGCGGUUGGGGAUGGACUCGCGGCUUAUCAGCUUGUUGGUGGGGUAGUGGCUUACCAAGGCUUUGACGGGUAGCCGGCCUGCGAGGGUGACCGGCCACAUUGGGACUGAGAUACGGCCCAGACUCCUACGGGAGGCAGCAGUGGGGAAUAUUGCACAAUGGGCGGAAGCCUGAUGCAGCAACGCCGCGUGCGGGAUGACGGCCUUCGGGUUGUAAACCGCUUUCGCCUGUGACGAAGCGUGAGUGACGGUAAUGGGUAAAGAAGCACCGGCUAACUACGUG